RNAcentral lists this transfer RNA (55 nucleotides) under Cerophytidae sp. BMNH 900085. RNAcentral describes it as "tRNA-Ser". The record is from RNAcentral. Lineage: Eukaryota; Metazoa; Arthropoda; Insecta; Coleoptera; Cerophytidae.
GAAAUAUAAGUAUAAAGCUUCUAACUUUAAUAAAGAAUUAAUAAUUCAUAUUUCU